Molecule: ribosomal RNA, 460 nt
Filed under: uncultured bacterium
Lineage: Bacteria
Description: partial 16S ribosomal RNA
Rfam family: Bacterial small subunit ribosomal RNA
Source: RNAcentral
CCUACGGGAGGCAGCAGUGAGGAAUAUUGGUCAAUGGGCGAGAGUCUGAACCAGCCAAGUAGCGUGAGGGAUGACUGCCCUAUGGGUUGUAAACUUCUUUUAUAAAGGAAUAAAGCGAGGCACGUGUGCCUUUUUGCAUGUACUUUGUGAAUAAAGAUCGGCUAACUCCGUGCCAGCAGCCGCGGUAAUACGGAGGAACCGAGCGUUAUCCGGAUUUAUUGGGGUUAAAGGGAGCGUAGAGGGGUUGGUAAGUCAGUUGUGAAAGUUUGCGGCUCAACCGUAAAAUUGCAAUUGAUACUGGCAGUCUUGAGUACAGUUGAGGUAGGCGGAAUGCGUGGUGUAGCGGUGAAAUGCUUAGAUAUCACGAAGAACCCCGAUUGCGAAGGCAGCUUACUAACCUGUGACUGACAUUGAUGCUCGAAAGCGUGGGUAUCAAACAGGAUUAGAUACCCGGGUAGUC